Long non-coding RNA from Physeter macrocephalus (sperm whale), 915 nucleotides. RefSeq lists it as uncharacterized. NCBI's taxonomy places the organism in Eukaryota, Metazoa, Chordata, Mammalia, Artiodactyla, Physeteridae. The transcript is spliced from 4 exons. The record is from RefSeq and is a predicted model, not a curated record.
UGUGGCCUCUCCCGUUGCGGAGCACAGGCUCCGGACGCGCAGGCUCAGCGGCCAUGGCUCACGGGCCCAGCCGCUCCGCGGCAUGUGGGAUCUUCCCAAACCGGGGCACGAACUCGUGUCCCCUGCAUCGGCAGGCGGACUCUCAACCACUGCGCCACCAGGGAAGCCCUGCAUUGCUGGCAAGUAAAUAGAGAGCCCUAGAAGAAAGACAACAAUGAUGAAACAGUUGAAUGUUAAAGAUGUAGUGUUGCCUUCUCUCUGAAACAAAGAACCAUUGAAGAAUUGUUGAAGCAACGGAUGGAGAGUCGCCCAGCAACAUGAUUCCCCAGGAGUGACAAGUAACAUUCCUUGAUUCAGGAUUAAGUUCAGUUUCUUCUGUGAUCCGGACUCAGCCCAAAGUCCAGCUUGCUCUGCUGCCAUCCUUUCCCCAGUGCAUCCUGUGUCCCAGCUGCCGAAAGCUGAAUUCCCUGGAGCCCCUCCUCGGCCUCCUGCAGUCACAACAGCACAUACUGCACAUGCUGCCAGCUGACCUGAAGGCCUUUCAUCCUGCUCCUCCACCCUGGCCACUUGGCUUGUCCUUUAAGACCUAGCUCAAGUGGUGUCACCUCCAGGGAGCUUGUAUAUAGCUUUGACAUAAAUUUUCUGAGUUUGAUAUGUCUCCUCUGAGCUACCUGAGGCCUUACUAUUCUAGUAUUUAUCAAGUUUUUCUUUGUUUUUUGUUUUUAUUGGCUGCGCCAUGCAUGUGGGAUCUUAAUUCCCUGACCAGGUAUCGAACCUACGCCCUCAGCAGUGAAAGCGCAGAGUCCUAACCACUAGACCACCAGGGAAUUCCCUAUCAAGUUGUUUUAAUGGUCUGUUUAUCUAUUUCUUUCUACCACCACCCUCCCACAGACAGACAGACAGACAGACAGACAG